RNAcentral lists this long non-coding RNA (1349 nucleotides) under Homo sapiens (human). RNAcentral's name for it is "HSALNT0108617". The record is from RNAcentral. Lineage: Eukaryota; Metazoa; Chordata; Mammalia; Primates; Hominidae.
UAGCAGAAUUGUGAUUUUUAUGUUUACUGAAUGGUGCAUGGGAUAAAAAGGGGUUCUAAAACACUUUACUAGAUCAUCCAAACCCUACAAUAGACACUUAUGCAUCAAAAUUCUUGUAAAAGGACCACUUCCCUACUCCCUCCACCCUCCCCUCAAAAUACCCAUGUUCACAAAGAACAAAACCUUACAGCUUAACCAACAAAAAAUGUGUCAUACAAUAAUUCUAAGGCAAUGGUUCUAUGAAGACAGGAGAGGUAGCAGGCUGAACCGCAUUCACUGACCCUAUCUCUCAGCUGCUCCUCCUCACUAGUCAGGUUUUUCCUGUGUACCCCACUUCAUUAUUUCCAUCAUGCUUACCUCUCUGUUUACUGGACAUUCCCCUUGAUCUAAUACCAAACUUAGCCAGUCUAACUGUAACUCAGAUGAUAAUCUGACCACUUCCUGGUAAGAACAAAUGGUUAAUGUUGUCACAGUGAUUAAUAAAUACAAAUAUGAAUUAAUUUAACAAUGAAUUACAUUUUAUCCCAUCCAGGCAUGAAGAAGUUAAAACCUGGACUCACUGACGCUGUGUUAAAAUUUAGUGCUAAAUGUAAGCAACAACACUGGAGCAUUGUUAUUUUAUCAAGACACCUGAACAUAGCAAAAUUAAUUUUGUUCAUUUUUAUUAACAUAGGACAUACUAACCAAAUAUUAUCAUUUAAUAAAAUCAACGUUACAAAGAAACUCACUAGCAAAUAAACAAACGAUAUUCACUUGACUCUUCUCUUGGUUGAAUGAUUUUCUAUUAAUUAGUAGUACACAGCUAUUUUUAUCAAUUUAUGCUUAAACUGCCUUAUGAUUUCAAUGAAAUUUCUUAGCUUUUACUUGUUGAAUAAUUUUUUCAAUUGGGAAUCUUUUCAUAAUUCAAAAUAGUUCCUGAAAAUUAAUGCAUCCUUCAAUGUCUUCUACUUAAGCUGGGUGCAUUUAAAAUGCAACACAAUUCUUUGAAAGGAGACUAUGACAUUUGAGCAUAAAGCCUAUAAGAAAAAGAAAUGUCUUCCCUCCCCCCAUGCUUCACAGAGACUAUACGAAUGUUCCAUACUCUUCAUAUUUAGCAACAGGAGUUCCUUAGAGAUCAAACAUGGAAUGAAAUACAUAGGAAAUUAAGGUUACUGCUUUCAAAAAUUUCUGGAAUAUUAGUACUUAAGUCAAAACACUUACCUGCAGAAUAAAAACAGCCUGAGUAUUUCCAAAGCUGAAGUAAUUUUCUGAAUGUUAAAUAUCACAAGAAUGAAAACAGUCUCCAUUAAGCACUUACAUGUGGUUUACAGUUGAGGCAGAAGAUGAAGGUCUGCCAAGCAGUUUUCCCA